GCACGAAAGUUAGCCGGGGUCUUCUUCUCCGGUUACCGUCAUUAUCUUCACCGGUGAAAGAGCUUUACAACCCUAGGGCCUUCAUCACUCACGCGGCAUGGCUGGAUCAGGCUUGCGCCCAUUGUCCAAUACUCCCCA
RNAcentral lists this ribosomal RNA (138 nucleotides) under uncultured bacterium. RNAcentral describes it as "partial 16S ribosomal RNA". The record is from RNAcentral.